GAUGAACGCUGGCGGCGUGCCUAAUACAUGCAAGUCGAGCGAACGGACGAGAAGCUUGCUUUUCUGAUGUUAGCGGCGGACGGGUGAGUAACACGUGGAUAACCUACCUAUAAGACUGGGAUAACUUCGGGAAACCGGAGCUAAUACCGGAUAAUAUUUUGAACGGCAUGGUUCAAAAGUGAAUGACGGCUUUGCUGUCACUUAUAGAUGGAUCCGCGCUGCAUUAGCUAGUUGGUAAGGUAACGGCUUACCAAGGCAACGAUGCAUAGCCGACCUGAGAGGAUGAUCGGCCACACUGGAACUGAGACACGGUCCAGACUCCUACGGGAGGCAGCAGUAGGGAAUCUUCCGCAAUGGGCGAAAGCCUGACGGAGCAACGCCGCGUGAGUGAUGAAGGUCUUCGGAUCGUAAAACUCUGUUAUUAGGGAAGAACAUAUGUGUAAGUAACUGUGCACAUCUUGACGGUACCUAAUCAGAAAGCCACGGCUAACUACGUG
RNAcentral lists this ribosomal RNA (497 nucleotides) under uncultured bacterium. Its description in RNAcentral is "partial 16S ribosomal RNA". It matches the Rfam family "Bacterial small subunit ribosomal RNA", at positions 28 to 507 of the family's 1533-position model. The record is from RNAcentral.